AGGUCUGUCUCUUUAUCAACAAGAUCAACUCCACCGAGGGAGAAAUCUUAUGGUUAUAUCCACCUGAGACACUGACUUAGGAGCUACCCUAAUCCAGGAUCCAGAUAUAUGAAACAAGAUUCUAUUUUGCAAGUAGACUCUCCAGCCUCAGACGAACCAGACUUCAGAUAUUCAAGACAUCCCAGGUACCAAGUUUCUUCACGUACAUUGAGGUGAUAUGACAACCUGUAUUUGAUUCCCUACACCAAAUUCCUAGUCUAUAGAUGAGAACUAAGGAUUCCAGUGACAUGGAGAAAGUGUGUAAUUAGGAAUCAGAAUGCAAGCAAAGGAAAGACUCUCCUCACAUGAAGACACUAUGGGUGGAACAUAGUCUACUACUCCUGUGGAGAGGAGCUGCUCCACCACGAUGAGGCAGGGAGAAGAGGAUAAGGCGAAUUAUGAUGCAUCAGCUGUCCCACCAGUGAAUAGAACAAAAAUCUCAGUAUUACCUAUGUUAGAAUCAUUGCCCUGGAAUCUUUUCUUCAAUCAAUCUUACAGAUGAGCUAUGCUUGCCAAGACAUCUAAUGAGUUGGUGUGCAUGCUGGGGUAAAGAGGGGUGAUAAGGGAAUUUUGGAAAGAAGGAAAGUACCCACUUCAGCAGGGCAGGAAAUGCAUAAAGCACAACCAGAUCACACUUGGAUUAUUGAUCGUAUGAAACCACUUUAAAUACAAGAUUUGAGGAGUUUUGGAGUCAGGACGAGACUGGGUUGAAUGGGUUGUCUUCCCGUUCAUACCCAUCCUGAAUCUGCUCAUCCAGGACAAUGGUCAUCCCAACUCCAGGAGGGAACCCAACUGGAGAACCAAGAAACAAACACAAUGAACACUGGACAUAUAUCCCCGCCAUAUGAAAAGAGCGCGGCUCCUCCUCACCAUGGGACCAUUAGACACCCAACAUUAUUUACAAGUCUAUGAGGAACAAGGUGCCCUUAGGUUUAUAUGAUAGAAGAAAAAUACAGGUAAUAAGGUGCAUUUUUCCUAAGUUAUACCUGUCCUGUUAUUAAUGCUGUAUUAUUUAUUUAUAUUUUAUUAUUCUCACUUUCCCAAUUUUUAUAUAAUGAACUUUUAGUAUCAGAAAAAAAUGUUACAUUCCUGAAAAUAUUGUUGUUUCUGUAUUUCAGAAGAUUAAUUCCUCCAUGCCUCUCCAUCAUGAGUGAGCUAGAGAGUGACUAGCAAAUGGUAUAAAGGUUUUGAAGAAGGCAUUACUAAUCCCCAGUUUGCAAGUAGAAAAAAAACCUGGAGAGAUGGAGUAACUUGUCCAGGGUACACAGCAAGUGGGAAGAAAAAUACAAAAAAUGCAGCAGAUCUACCAAGUCAAUACAGCUCCAAAGUCCAUGUUUAUUUCAUUUCAUCAGACAGUUUUAAUGUACAUCAACCUCUUUUUCAACAAAAUUACUGGCAAUCUGAGGCAGUGUCUUAUGAAAGAAGUAGCAGCAGAAAGACGUGAUAUUUAUGCAGUUCAUAUGAAGUGCGAGGAGGAAGCCAACUGCAAAGUGCUGGAAUUGUUCAUUUUAAUGAGAAGGAAGCAUCAUUCCCACUAAAGAAACAUGAUUACUAGAGAUGAUAAUCAGAACCCAGUGUGAAUAGUCAUUCUUUCUUCUGCCACCACAGAGGGGAGAACCAGGGGACCAGGUAAACUCCUUCCUUGCAGCUCAGACCAGGCCUGCUUUCAUCAAUUCUCUGCUGCCCUUGGGAUUUUUCAAUACCCCGAGUUUUGAGGAGACCAGUGAUUCACCCUUUUUCUACAGCCAGCCGACAGAUCACACAGUGACCGUGGCUUUGAGGUGACAUGAGCAGUUGUUCAAAGUCGAGCUGUUUCAAUUUAUCUCUUCCUUUUCAAUUUAAGCUUCUUUCCAAAGGAGCUAUAAACUAUUCUAGUUGAAGCUAUUUCCUUUCAUCACGGCUCCCUCAGAUGAAAGACAAGGCAAACAUCAUCCAGUAGGACAAUGGUAUUUGGGUGCUUUCCUUGCUUUCUUGUUGCCAAAGAAUGAUCAAAUUCUGAUCUGAAGACCAUUUGACAAGACACUUCAGGUUGGCCUCUUAUGGUCUUAAUAUUUAUGUCGUAAAAAUCUCUGGAACAGCAUUAUUCAAUAGAAAUAUAAUGUUAAGUCACAAAUGUGAACCUCAUAUUAAAUUUUCUAGAAUCCACAUGACAAGAGUAAGAAAAGAUGGGUGAAAUUAAUUAGCAUAUUACAUUUAAUACAAUAUAUACACAAUAUUAUCAAUCAAAAUGCAAUCAAUAUGAAAUUAUUUGUGAGAUUUUUUUCCCUAAGUCUACAAAAUCAAUGUGUAUUUCAUACAGCAUAUCUCAAUUCAGACUAGCUAUUAUUCAAAUGUUCAGUAGAUGCAUGUAGCUAGUGGUUGCUGUUUUGGAUGGUGCAGUUCUAGGCCUUGGCUGCCUUUGCUUGUUCAAUAUGUAUUUUUACCAAUAGAGUAUAAAGAGGCUUUUUCCAGGAGUAAUAAAACAUUGACACAGAAUGGGCUAUCAAAAAAUGCUGUGUUGAAGAUGAAAACACAUGUUAAUAAUUUGUUUUAAAACACCAUGAUUUCUUAAAUUAUUUAGGAGGAGAGGUUGGGAAGUAAUGCUGGAAAGGGAUUGUCCUACAAAGGAAUGAAGAGAAGAGUCCAUGAUAGAGAUGAUGAUUCUAAAUGUAAAUAAUAAUUUCUUAAGUAUAUAUGAUCUAAUAGGAUAGGUAGAUGUUUCCAGAGAUCUUUAUAUGUCAAUAUGUAAUCCCCAAAUAAGAGAAAACAAUUAGUAUAUUUUAUAGAAAUAUAAGGGACAAAUUCUAUCUCUUGAAAGUUGAAACACUAUAAAGAUUGCUAAUGUUCAUGGUUAGAAUGAAGGGGAAAGGAGCCUACACUCUCCAUAUGAUACUGGAGGUAAAACUGAUAUAAUAUUUAUGACAAAAACUUGUCAAAUAUCCUUAAAACUUCUUUCAACACCAUCAUUUUAAUUCCAUUUAGUGGGGAAAUUACUAGACAAGGAAAUAAAAAUGAACAUAAAGGAUGCCUGAGAUUACUGAAAACUUGGGAACAUUUAAGUAGCCACUAAGAAAGUGAUAAUUAAAUAUAUUGUAGAUAUGCACAUAUACACUGAAUAGAAUAUUAUGCAGCCAUUAAAAUGUCAAUGUAAUUUUAUAUUUAUUGAAAUAUAUAUGUUUAUUAUUAAAUGGAAAAGUCAGGUUUUGGAACAAUAUGUAAAAGACAUCAUUUAAAAUACACACAAGUGGGGAUACUUAAAUUCUGUUUUGUACUUUUGGGGAAAUAACCUUAUUUUAAUGAGCAUACAAUCUUUAAUCAAAACAAACAAUAAAUCUCUGUAUUUUGAAAAAAGCACUAUAUCCUGGGAACUUUCUGAAUAACAAAAAGAAAAAAAAAUAAAGAUAAAAGAGGAUAGGCUG
Canis lupus familiaris (dog) is the source of this 3437-nucleotide long non-coding RNA. RefSeq lists it as uncharacterized. The transcript has 11 exons. The record is from RefSeq and is a predicted model, not a curated record. Lineage: Eukaryota; Metazoa; Chordata; Mammalia; Carnivora; Canidae.